CCUACGGGAGGCAGCAAUGGGGAAUAUUGCACAAUGGGGGAAACCCUGAUGCAGCGACGCCGCGUGAGUGAAGAAGUACUUCGGUAUGUAAAGCCCUAUCAGCAGGGAAGAAAAUGACGGUACCUGAUCAAGAAGCCCCGGCUAACUACGUGCCAGCAGCCGCGGUUAUACGUAGGGGGCCAGCGUUAUCCGGAUUUACUGGGGGUAAAGGGGGCGUAGACGGGAGAACAAGUCUGGAGGGAAAUGCCGGGGCUUAACCCCCGAACUGCUUUGGAAACUGUGCAGCUAGAGUGCAGGAGAGGUAAGUGGAAUGCGUGGUGUAGCGGUGAAAUGCGUAGAUAUUAGGCAGAACACCGGUUGCGAAGGCAGCUUACUGGACUGUAACUGACGUUGAGGCACGAAAGCGUGGGGAGCGAACAGGAUUAGAUACCCUAGUAGUC
Molecule: ribosomal RNA, 440 nt
Filed under: uncultured bacterium
Lineage: Bacteria
Description: partial 16S ribosomal RNA
Rfam family: Bacterial small subunit ribosomal RNA
Source: RNAcentral